Molecule: non-coding RNA, 89 nt
Organism: Dichotomopilus funicola
Lineage: Eukaryota; Fungi; Ascomycota; Sordariomycetes; Sordariales; Chaetomiaceae
Source: the annotation of a RefSeq genome assembly
GGGCUGUUGGUCUAGCGGUAUGAUUCUCGCUUUGGGUUGUGUCAGCCUGUUGCUGCGAGAGGUCCCGGGUUCAAUCCCCGGACAGCCCC